Molecule: transfer RNA, 737 nt
Filed under: uncultured Bartonella sp.
Lineage: Bacteria; Pseudomonadati; Pseudomonadota; Alphaproteobacteria; Hyphomicrobiales; Bartonellaceae
Description: partial 16S-23S ribosomal RNA intergenic spacer
Source: RNAcentral
AAAAACAGGUAAAAAGCGUUUAAGCAGAUAUAAAGCGUUUAAGAAACAGGUAAAAGGUGUUUAAGAAACAUAUCUGUUUCUUAAACAUAUCUUUUGUUUGUCCCGAGGAAGGUUUUUACCGAUUUACUCCUGAGGGCUUGUAGCUCAAUUGGUUARAGCGCGCGCUUGAUAAGCGUGAGGUCGGAGGUUCAAGUCCUCCCAGGCCCACCAUUUAUGAUUGCUGAUAAGUUUGCUGAUAAGUUUUUUGUGAAUGUUUUGAUGGUCUUUUAUCUUACGAUCUUUCACUUUUAUGUUGCAAUCUUUCAAAAGUAUUUGAACUGUUUUAGGGGCCGUAGCUCAGCUGGGAGAGCACCUGCUUUGCAAGCAGGGGGUCGUCGGUUCGAUCCCGUCCGGCUCCACCAUCUUUGGUUAUCAUCAUCGUUAAAGAACAAUGUUUUGCAAUAGAUCUGUAGAUCUUAAGUCUAUCAUCUAUUGCCUGUUCUAUUGAAAUUGUGAAGAGAAGAUAUAUUCAGACAUUACUGUUUUAUUCAGCUAUUGUUGUUUUGUUGUUGCUUUUAAUGUUUAAGUCUCUCCUUGAAGGAAUGACAAAAAGCUUAAAAACACAACGCUAACUUAAAAACACAACGCUGACAUUGCUUUAGAGCAUUGGCUUUUAAAUUUAGUCAUUGUUUUAACAAUGUGUAAAGCAAUGUAAUGUGUCGCUAGGGUAUGCUCAAAGCCUUAGCUUUAUGAUUGGA